This 433-nucleotide ribosomal RNA is filed under the name uncultured bacterium. Its description in RNAcentral is "partial 16S ribosomal RNA". It matches the Rfam family "Bacterial small subunit ribosomal RNA", at positions 29 to 507 of the family's 1533-position model. The record is from RNAcentral.
AACGAACGCUGGCGGCAUGCCUAACACAUGCAAGUCGAACGAGACCUUCGGGUCUAGUGGCGCACGGGUGCGUAACGCGUGGGAACCUGCCCUUAGGUUCGGAAUAACUCCCCGAAAGGGGUGCUAAUACCGGAUAAUGUCUUCGGACCAAAGAUUUAUCGCCUUUGGAUGGGCCCGCGUUGGAUUAGCUAGUUGGUAGGGUAAAAGCCUACCAAGGCGACGAUCCAUAGCUGGUCUGAGAGGAUGAUCAGCCACACUGGGACUGAGACACGGCCCAGACUCCUACGGGAGGCAGCAGUGGGUAAUAUUGGACAAUGGGCGAAAGCAUGAUCCAGCAAUGCCGCGUGAGUGAUGAAGGCCUUAGGGUUGUAAAGCUCAUUUACCCGGGAUGAUAAUGACAGUACCGGGAGAAUAAGCCCCGGCUAACUCCGUG